Molecule: transfer RNA, 74 nt
Filed under: Leptospiraceae bacterium
Lineage: Bacteria; Pseudomonadati; Spirochaetota; Leptospiria; Leptospirales; Leptospiraceae
Description: tRNA-Val
Rfam family: tRNA
About the family: Transfer RNA (tRNA) molecules are approximately 80 nucleotides in length.
Source: RNAcentral
GGGGGAUUAGCUCAGUUGGCUAGAGCGCUUCCAUGACAAGGAAGAGGUCACCGGUUCAAUUCCAGUAUCUCCCA